GCUCACUCCCUCGCUUCCAACGCCGCCCUUGCCCUCCAAUUGAACGCCCAUUCCUCCACCCGAGAACAGGCCCAGUUGAGAGAGGUGACAUUGCAGGAGGAAAAUGCUGCAUAUGAAAAGGCUAUAUCAAACUGUGAAAGUAAAAUACAGGAGAAGAUUGAGGAAGCAGAGUUACUUAGGAGGAAGUUAGAGGAAUUGGAGGACACUGAAAAGAAUUUGAGAGAUGAGCUGGAAAAUGCACAAACAGAAUUGGAUACCAGUCGAUCUCACGGAUCAGAUGAAGUUGUUGGCAACUCCAAAACAU
Rosa rugosa (rugosa rose) is the source of this 304-nucleotide long non-coding RNA. RefSeq lists it as uncharacterized. The transcript has 3 exons. Lineage: Eukaryota; Viridiplantae; Streptophyta; Magnoliopsida; Rosales; Rosaceae. The record is from RefSeq and is a predicted model, not a curated record.